AUGCAAGUUGAGCGAAGCUUUUUGGUAGUUUACUACUAGAAAUGACUGAGCGGCGAACGGGUGAGUAACGCGUGAGCAAUCUACCUUAGUUACUGGGAUAGCCCGAGGAAACUCGGAUUAAUACCGGAUAUUCUUAUUUUUUCACAUGAAGUUUUAAGGAAAGGUCAGCCGAACUAAGAUGAGCUCGCGUUCUAUCAGCUAGUUGGUGGGGUAAAAGCCUACCAAGGCUACGACGGAUAGCUGGUCUGAGAGGACGAUCAGCCACACUGGGACUGAGACACGGCCCAGACUCCUACGGGAGGCUGCAGCAGGGAAUAUUGUGCAAUGAGCGAAAGCUUGACACAGCGACACCGCGUGUGGGAUGACGGUUCUAGGAUUGUAAACCACUUUCAGGAGGGAAGAAAAUGACGGUACCUCCACAAGAAGACCCGGCCAACUAUGUGCCAGCAGCCGCGGUAAUACAUAGGGGUCAAGCGUUGUCCGGAUUUAUUGGGCGUAAAGAGCUCGUAGGCGGUUUCAACAAGUCGGUCGUAAAAGUUUAGGGCUCAACCCUAAAAUGUCGAUCGAUACUGUUGUGACUAGGAUACGGUAGAGGUGAAUGGAAUUCCGAGUGUAGCGGUGAAAUGCGUAGAUAUUCGGAGGAACACCAAUUGCGAAAGCAGUUCACUGGACCGUGAUCGACGCUGAGGAGCGAAAGCUAGGGGAGCAAACAGGAUUAGAUACCCUGGUAGUCCUAGCUGUAAACGAUGAAUACUAGAUGUAGGAACUGGAUUGACGGUUUC
RNAcentral lists this ribosomal RNA (782 nucleotides) under uncultured marine bacterium. RNAcentral's name for it is "bacterial SSU rRNA". It matches the Rfam family "Bacterial small subunit ribosomal RNA", at positions 55 to 841 of the family's 1533-position model. The record is from RNAcentral.